Molecule: long non-coding RNA, 678 nt
Organism: Coregonus clupeaformis (lake whitefish)
Lineage: Eukaryota; Metazoa; Chordata; Actinopteri; Salmoniformes; Salmonidae
Exons: 3
Source: RefSeq, a predicted model, not a curated record
CUCUCUCUCUCUCUCUCUCUCUCUCUCUGAAGUGAUGCCACCGCCUUUAUCUGUUGUUACACCAUUGACAGUAAAAAAAAAAAUGACUUCAUCCCUCAGUUUAUAGCCUACUGUAGCUAGCCAUGGGAUUUCCCUGAACAAAGCAACCAAUCGUGUAGAUGUAAACACACUGUCAUCAUAGCACACGCUGCUUGCUGUUCAAUUUGUCAGUGCAGUGAAAGACAAAUAGAUUAAUCCAUGGCAGAGCAACAAGCAAGAUAAAAUAAAACUAAGUUCUAUUAUUAUUGAGUCGACUGGUUUCUGUUUCUAUCAGAUGGCGGUGGAAACUGUUCGUGAAGAGGACGUGCUAAAUGUGAUCUUGUGCGGAAGGAGCGCUAGGCGGGUGUCUUCGGGGUACUUACCGGAGAACAGAGCUACAGGUGUCAAUCAAGCUCCUGUCGUCUCGCACUGCAGGUCGAAGUGAGUGGACUGAGUGGAUGAGAGACGUGGAUGUGGUCAGACAAGUCCAUUCAGAGCGGGUUCUGGUUCCACUGGGUGUGUACAAGGCCUGGUGUCUGAUGGGCCUGCUGUAUGUCUGGAUGCCUGAAGGCUCUCUACACUCUCUACUAUACCAGACCCAGCUGUAUCCAGGUCUACCGAUGAGUUUCAGGCUUGGCAUCCUAUUAGAUGUGACAGAGG